This 1237-nucleotide ribosomal RNA is filed under the name metagenome. Its description in RNAcentral is "bacterial SSU rRNA". It matches the Rfam family "Bacterial small subunit ribosomal RNA", at positions 243 to 1520 of the family's 1533-position model. The record is from RNAcentral.
AGCUAGUUGGCGGGGUAAUUGCCCACCAAGGCGACGAUCGGUAGCUGGAUCGAGAGGUUGACCAGCCACACUGGGACUGAGAUACGGCCCAGACUCCUACGGGAGGCAGCAGUGAGGAAUCUUCCACAAUGGACGAAAGUCUGAUGGAGCAACACCGCGUGCAGGAAGACGCUUUUCGGAGUGUAAACUGCUUUUGUAUGGGAAGAUUAUGACGGUACCAUGCGAAUAAGGACCGGCUAACUACGUGCCAGCAGCCGCGGUAAUACGUAGGGUCCAAGCGUUAUCCGGAAUUACUGGGCGUAAAGCGUGCGUAGGCGGAGAUUUGCGUGAGAUGCGAAAUCCGGUGGCUCAACCAUCUGGACUGUAUCUCAUACGGGAUUUCUAGAGGACGGCAGAGGCAAGCGGAAUUACCGGUGUAGCAGUGAAAUGCGUAGAGAUCGGUAGGAACACCAAUGGCGAAGGCAGCUUGCUGGGCCGUCCCUGACGCUAAGGCACGAAAGCGUGGGGAGCGAACAGGAUUAGAUACCCUGGUAGUCCACGCCGUAAACGAUGCACACUAUUAGUAUGGGGUAUCGACCCCCUGUGCUAAGAAGCUAACGCGUUAAGUGUGCCGCCUGGGGAGUACGGCCGCAAGGCUAAAACUCAAAGGAAUUGACGGGGACCCGCACAAGCGGUGGAUGAUGUGGUUUAAUUCGAAGGUACGCGAAGAACCUUACCAAGGCUUGACAUCCCAGGAAUCCGCUGGAAACAGUGGAGUGCCUUCGGGAGCCUGGUGACAGGUGCUGCAUGGCCGUCGUCAGCUCGUGUCGUGAGAUGUUGGGUUAAGUCCCGCAACGAGCGCAACCCUUAUCGUUUGUUGAAUUUUUCAAACGAGACUGCCCGGGCCAACCGGGAGGAAGGUGGGGAUGACGUCAGGUCAGCAUGGCCCUUACGCCUUGGGCUACACACGUCAUACAAUGGCCGGUACAACGCGUUGCCAACCCGCGAGGGGGAGCUAAUCGCACCAAAACCGGUCCCAGUUCGGAUUGGAGGCUGCAACUCGCCUCCAUGAAGCCGGAAUCGCUAGUAAACGUGGGUCAGCAUACCACGUUGAAUACGUUCCCGGGUCUUGUACACACCGCCCGUCAAGUCACGAAAAUUAGGAGUGCCCAAAGUGCCUACUAAUGCUAGGCCCAAAGGUAAAUCUAGUGAUUGGGACUAAGUCGUAACAAGGUAUCCGUACCGGAAGGUGCGGAUG